RNAcentral lists this ribosomal RNA (226 nucleotides) under uncultured bacterium. RNAcentral's name for it is "partial 16S ribosomal RNA". It matches the Rfam family "Bacterial small subunit ribosomal RNA", at positions 538 to 763 of the family's 1533-position model. The record is from RNAcentral.
GCGUUGUUCGGAAUUACUGGGCGUAAAGGGCGCGUAGGCGGCCUUAUAAGUCCCGUGUGAAAUCCCUCGGCUCAACUGAGGAACUGCACGGGAAACUGUCUGGCUUGAGUUCGGGAGAGGGAAGCGGAAUUCCGGGUGUAGCGGUGAAAUGCGUAGAUAUCCGGAGGAACACCGGUGGCGAAGGCGGCUCCCUGGACCGACACUGACGCUGAGGCGCGAAAGCUAG